Long non-coding RNA from Armigeres subalbatus, 889 nucleotides. RefSeq lists it as uncharacterized. The transcript has 5 exons. The record is from RefSeq and is a predicted model, not a curated record. NCBI's taxonomy places the organism in Eukaryota, Metazoa, Arthropoda, Insecta, Diptera, Culicidae.
AACACCAGAAAAGCCAUAGUUAAGAUCACAAUAGCUCGAUCCGUGCAAUCAUCCAGAGGCAAGUGCACAUGCCUCUGAGACAAAGCAGUUUCAAGUGAAAUAUCCACAAAAAUAUAGAAGGCGCUGGCCAAAUAAACUUCGAUCAAGGCAUACGACACGGAUCGCACUCGAGCACGUGGAACCGACACAACAAAGGCAUAUUCCAAGAGAUUCAUUGCACGCACUCAGCCAUCAAAGGCAUCCCAGCCCAGGAUACAGAGCACACAAUACGUCUCUGGAACAAGUGGUGAACCGAUGCAUGCGUAAGAGUGGCCGAAGGAACAACACACCGUUCGUUAGGAGGUUGCGACACCUGAAGGCCUUCGAAAGAGGGCCUUUUGUGCUAGCCCGACCAGCCACCAUCACUCGACGGAUAAACCACUAAGGAUCGCGAGGAGGGCGAGAGUGCGGCGUGAAAUCCAAGCGGAGGCAAACCACUCGGCUCAGCCACAUCAACGCCAAGACAAAGAGUGCAUUAGUGCAAGCCAUACGGAGACGGCGCGACAUCAUCUGAACGAGGUGGUAGUCGCGCGACAUUCAGACUCGUCACGUCCAAGGGACGCAACAAGCAAAAGUGCAUCGUGUGAACGGCAGCAGUGGAACGUUGUGUCGGGCCAAGUGUUGCGCGAGAAACGUGAGUGUUGCGUUGAGUGCAUCGCGCGCAGGUAGGCAUGGCAGGCUGCAUGGUACCACGUCGUGUGGUGAAGGAGAUGGGGCCCCCACCGUCAUCGUGAGUGUUUAGUUGAUAAGCAAAACGGAAGAAGUUAGGAGGCAGUUUUAGAGUAAUAUGUAGAUACACGAGAUGGUACAAAUUUGCAUUAGUAAACCGUCAUGAAUUGAUACAUCGUAA